Molecule: long non-coding RNA, 407 nt
Filed under: Vulpes vulpes (red fox)
Lineage: Eukaryota; Metazoa; Chordata; Mammalia; Carnivora; Canidae
Description: lncRNA (ENSVVUG00000000456.1)
Source: RNAcentral
CCUGGCUUCAUAAGGAUAAAAUCUGGAAUGUUUUGAGAAGUAAGGAGAUGGAUCAUCCUUUGGGGAUGCCUAUGAAAAUAUCAUCAUUAAAAAAUAAGUUAUGAUAAAGAGUUUGAGGAAGAAGAGGUCAUGGAGGAUAUGGAGUCAGGGCCAAUGAAGGGGCAGUGCCAUCCAGACCACAGCUUUAUUCCCUGGAGGGCAACACGGCUGUUUCUGAUGCAAGUAGUUCUGGACACUUUUUGAGAAACUCUACCCAUGUGAGAAAUGACAGUGGUGAUGACCAGGGCAGCAUCCAUGGGCCAGGUAAUGGUGGGAUAUUCAUAAGGCACCUUGUUUAUUUGAAACCUUUUCCCUGCCUACUUGUUCCUCCCUCAUUUCUUGUUCUCCUUGUCUUCAAUCCAAGUCCC